This is a long non-coding RNA of Lagopus muta (rock ptarmigan), 1269 nucleotides long. RefSeq lists it as uncharacterized. The record is from RefSeq and is a predicted model, not a curated record. NCBI's taxonomy places the organism in Eukaryota, Metazoa, Chordata, Aves, Galliformes, Phasianidae. The transcript is spliced from 4 exons.
UUGGUUCAGCUUUGAUGGAGGAAUUGGACCAACCUACCCCCAGAGGUCCUUCUGAACUAAAUUAUCUCAUGAUUCUGUGAUUCUUACCUGCUGAAAGAUUGACUGCAUUUCCAGCAGUCACCUCACCGGCCACUUUUAAAGCACCAUGAGAAAAGAAAUUUCCAGCUGAGCAGCAGAUUCAACAGCAGUUUCCACCACAUUUAACAGAAGUGAAUUCCUGGGAAGGUUUGAGCGUAGCAGAGAUGAGCAGAGAUGCCUGGCAAAUAGCUUUGGGAAUAAUAUUACAGCAAAGGCUCAAGGACCUGGCAUUUCCACUUUAUUUAUUUGGACAGCACCAGAGGCCAGAGAUCUGAAGAGACACAUAGUGGGAGGGCAAGAUGCUUUUUCUAGGAAAAAUUAAAUCAACACUGUAACUGAACAAAUGCACUGAAUGAAGGGUGGGGAAUAGGGAAGAAAUGGCACAGUCAGCAGCAAAGGAAUGAAAAAACAAAAGAUGAUGAUCAUCAUAUUAAAUUGAGAUUAGCGGGGCCAAUUAACAUUUGUUAUCUUUGCCAAGUUUGCUUAUGAAACCUGUAACAUUACUACAGAAAGCUACAUGUUAAUUUAAAAGAAAUCAAGAAGCACAGAUAAUAUCUUCAAUUGCUAAAAUCAAAGCAGCUUCUCACCUGCUCAUCCUGAUAAGGCAUCUCAGGGGCAGGAUGGCAGAUUACUCCCAACAGCAAGGUGAAAACAUCUCUCCAGAACCACUCCCUUAAGCAUGCUUUCCUAUUUGGUUUGCACACCUCUUCAUUGAUUAGCAUCUUCAUUAAUACAUUAGGAUUUAACUAAUACUGGCUAUGUAAAUUCACUUAAUCAAAGUACAAGCUGCAGCUCAUGUGCGAUACACUGAAUUUGCAUCAGAUUUUACAAGUAACUUUUCUCUAUCUGCACUCCUACAAAGCUAAAUUCAGCAGUACGGAAGGAGAGUGUGAACAGAUUUUCAAGGACUCCUCAGGUAUUUCUUAAUGGGGUGCAGCACAUCAUAUCUCACAGUCUCUCCUUCACUGAGGCCAGAAUCUCAAGAAGCAGCAGCAAGUAGCAGACUGUGUGGGCAAGAACUGCCAGAUAUGCCCCAUGCCAAUAAGGCUGCUGAGCUCUUGAACUCUCCCACCUGACUUAUUUCUCGGUAGACUAAUUUUGCCCUGCUGCAAAAUGGGCCUACUAGCAGCCUACUUUGCAAAACUGCAGUGUUCUCAUUAGCUAAUAUGUGCUAAGUGUCUGGAAGUAGCU